GAACUUGCAACAUAAAUGUACAGAAUUUUGCAGUUAGUGAAACUUGCAAAAUUAAUGUGCAGCAAGUAGUGGUACUAGCAAUUUUUUUGAUAGACGGUUUUUGGCUUACGUUCACGUUGUGUCUAUCGUUAACAAUGAUUGUUAUAUAGUUUCAUUACUGGAAACUUAUCUCAUUAACUAAAAUCCAAAACACAUAAUUGUUGUUUGAAAUCAUAUAUAAAUGUAUAAAAAAAUUUUUUAGUCGGAGGGGGGAUUUGUCAUCUUCCUCAGCAAAUAUGAAGACUGGUGCAUCUUGUAAUACUACUACUCAAAUUAGGUCAGAAGGGGUAACCGCUACUCCCUUCUUCAAAAAUAAAUACUCUGAUGCAUCUUGUAAUACUACUAUUGUAAUAUGGUCAGAGGGGGAGGGAUACGCCCUUUUCUCAUGUCUUUGUGUACACCACUACUUUUUAUUUUAAAGAUGUAGAAAAAAGUUAUUCAUUUUGUAAACUUGAUCUAUUGUAUGUAUAUUUUGAAAUAAA
Non-coding RNA from Hydra vulgaris (swiftwater hydra), 521 nucleotides. NCBI's taxonomy places the organism in Eukaryota, Metazoa, Cnidaria, Hydrozoa, Anthoathecata, Hydridae. The record is from RefSeq and is a predicted model, not a curated record.